CGGCCGCGUCGACCGAUGCAACGCGAAAAACCUUACCCACCUUUGACAUGGCAGGAAGUUUCCAGAGAUGGAUUCGUGCUCGAAAGAGAACCUGCACACAGGUGCUGCAUGGCUGCCGUCAGCUCGUGUCGUGAGAUGUUGGGUUAAGUCCCGCAACGAGCGCAACCCUUGUCAUUAGUUGCUACAUUUAGUUGGGCACUCUAAUGAGACUGCCGGUGACAAACCGGAGGAAGGUGGGGAUGACGUCAAGUCCUCAUGGCCCUUAUAGGUGGGGCUACACACGUCAUACAGGCUGGUACAGAGGGUUGCCAACCCGGCGAGGGGGAGCUAAUCCCAUAAAACCAGUCGUAGUCCGGAUCGCAGUCUGCAACUCGACUGCGUGAAGUCGGAAUCGCUAGUAAUCGCGGAUCAGCAUGCCGCGGUGAACUACGUUCCCGGGUCUUGUACACACCGCCCGUCGACGCGGCCG
RNAcentral lists this ribosomal RNA (469 nucleotides) under uncultured bacterium. RNAcentral describes it as "bacterial SSU rRNA". It matches the Rfam family "Bacterial small subunit ribosomal RNA", at positions 934 to 1408 of the family's 1533-position model. The record is from RNAcentral.